RNAcentral lists this ribosomal RNA (924 nucleotides) under Saproscincus challengeri. RNAcentral's name for it is "partial 16S ribosomal RNA". It matches the Rfam family "Bacterial large subunit ribosomal RNA", at positions 940 to 2581 of the family's 2925-position model. The record is from RNAcentral. Lineage: Eukaryota; Metazoa; Chordata; Lepidosauria; Squamata; Scincidae.
UUUAGACUAAACAGCACACCAUAGCCAACCUAUUAGACUAAAACAUAUUCGACCGGGGUACAGCCCUGCCGAACAAGGAUACAACCUAUUCUAGCGGAUCAGAACUAGAACACACCAACAGUGGGCCUUAAAGCCGCCACCAAUAAACAACGCGUCAUAGCACAAUACUACAGAUACGAACAAUCUAACCAAACCCCUAGUAAAUAACUGAGCCACACUAUACAAAUAGCAGCACUUAUGCUAAAACUAGUAACAAGAAAACUUCUCUCAGCACCCCCGUGCCCCAGAAAUAGAACCUCUACUGGACAUUAACAGACCAAACAAGGAACACUAGAACUGUCAAACCAACACCGGCGUGCCAUUAAAGAAGGUUAAAAACCACAUAAGGAACUCAGCAACACCCUGUCCCAACUGUUUACCAAAAACACAGCCUUUAGCCAAACAAGUAUUAAAGGUGCUGCCUGCCCAGUGAAGCAUUUUAAACGGCCGCGGUAUCCUAACCGUGCAAAGGUAGCGUAAUCACUUGUCUUUUAAAUAAAGACUUGUAUGAACGGCUAAAUGAGGACAGACCUGUCUCUUGUAGUCAACCAGUGAAACUGAUCUUUAAGUACAAAAGCUUAAAUAAAUACAUAAGACGAGAAGACCCGUGGAGCUUAAACAAAUACUAUUACACCCAAAAUAGCAUGCGUUUUAGUUGGGGCGACUUCGGAACUAAGCCAAACUUCCGAGCACAGAGCCCACCGCUCUCUCCAAGAUUAACAAGUCAAAGGAAAUACGACCCAGUCACACUGAACAACGAACCAAGUUACCCCAGGGAUAACAGCGCUAUCUUCUUCAAGAGUCCCUAUCGACAAGAAGGUUUACGACCUCGAUGUUGGAUCAGGACACCCAAAUGGUGCAACCGCUAUUAAAGGUUCGUUUGUU